Molecule: non-coding RNA, 5158 nt
Organism: Zonotrichia albicollis (white-throated sparrow)
Lineage: Eukaryota; Metazoa; Chordata; Aves; Passeriformes; Passerellidae
Source: RefSeq, a predicted model, not a curated record
GUGGAAUGCAGCUACAUUCCUGACACCGAUCAUCAGUGCGUGAGUUCGGAUAUGUUCAAAGUCCAGCUCCUAAAAGAGCAUUUCUUUCAGGUUUAGGAUCUGCUUUGGCUCUCUUCAGACAAUAAAGGGUGAAGAUUGUGGGAUUUUCAGAACUGGAUUCUUGUUUCAUUCAUCAUUGGAAGAUACAAAAUAUCCAGGCACAAAGGAGUGAGUUCCAUGCACACUGUUCACAGAACGAAGAACUCAGAGCAGAAUGGGGCUGCCACUAAAGAGGAACCCAAGGCACAGCAAGAUGCAAUGACUUGCCUGAAAUAUCUCAGCAAAGCAGGGGCAGCACUCUGUCUCACCUAGUGCACUUGAAGAUAAUUUAUGAGUGGCAAUGGACUCACCUCUGAUAUAGCUUAUUUUACAUUUAUGGAGAUGAAGCUCCUGGGACUUGUUUGACAGAAACCAGAUGCAGCUGCUCCCAUUCCCUCCAGCACAAUCUAAGGAUGCUUGGCCUUGGCUUUGUAGCAACCUGGGUCUCAAAAACAGUAGAUGCAGUUGUAUAUAAAAGAUUUGUCCAGACUAGAAUUUGCUUUUGUUUCUGAUGGAAGAGUAUCGGUUUGUGGGGAGUGGACUCUGCCUUGAUCUUAUCUCACUCUCACCAGAGAGAGCAACAGAGAGUCCCAGGAUCAUUGCAUUGAGCAGGAUGCAGAAGUGCUGGAGAAACAAAAGAAAGAAAUUUCUGCAGUUUUUACUCAAAUAUCACAGAAAAUAAUAAUCCUAGAAAUUUAUGGUUCAUAUAAUGGAAGGUGAACAUCUUGUAUUCCUGGUGGGAUUAACAAAGUCAUCAUGAAUCCAUACAUUCACUGCCUUUGGCCUGUGAUGGUGAUUUUAGAGCUGCUUUUUUUGAAGAUGUUUCAGUAUGAAGGGAAGCAUCCUUGGAGCCAGGAACUGAAACCAAACAAUAAGCUUACUCAUUGCUUACUCAAGGGAGAAAAUGGUCUUAGUGAAGAAAGUUAGACAGGUCACUGCUGCAGGACCUGUGUGCUGCUUUGCUGCAGGUUGCUCGUAUCUGUGAUGCUGCAUGUAAGAAUAAGGUUGCCUGUAUGUUGGUCUGCUUUGUCCUAGUUUGCUAAAUAAAGAAAUAAAAAUAAAACCUUCUGAUACAAAAGAGAGAGGAAACCUGUUCAAUUCAGACAUUAAGCAAAGGUCAUGUGAGUGCAAAAUAAAUGCUUUAUAUUACUGUAUUUUAAACAUAAUGUUUAAAACAUCACUUGCAACGUAUAAUUAGCUUCCUUCUUGUUAAUCCAAGACAUUGAUCUACCAAUUUUAUAUGGAGAGCAGCCAAUUUAUAAAUGUAUCUCAGUUGAUAAUUGGCCUGACUUGCUUUGGGUAAGGAUGAAAUUGGUGUACUUCCCUGUGCUGUGACAAUGUCUGGACAGCAUUUUGAAGAUCUGAUUAUAAUCCAUUGCAAAUUUCUAUGUGGAUGUGGGGUUGGAGACAAAGAACCACACUCACAAUUCAGGAGCAAAGGGAACACUGCUAUUUGUUUGACUUCAGAAGCAUUGGAGAGUAAUUGGUCUCUGCCCUUAAAACACAUGAAAAAGUAAAAAAAGCAAUUUUGUAAAAAACACAUGGGAAGAAAUCCCCAUCUGCUACUAGAAUUAUUUAAUAAAAUACCUUACUUCAUUAAAGCUAUUGAAAAGCUGUUCUUUGUAGUACCUGUGACAUAUUGGCAGCUAGAUAAAUAAUGAAAUAUUGUCAGAACUGAAGAUACUGUAAUGUUAGUGAAACAUCCAUCUGCAACCAGAGACAAUCUAUUAUUUAUAUUGCAAAUAUUUUAACAUUGUUAAUCUUUAAUUAUUAUUUCUUUAGUUAUUAUUCUGUUAAUCUUUAAUUAUUUAUUUCAGUUUUUUGAAUAAUCGAUGUUAUGUGAAACAUAGCGGUAUCUGAUGACAUUUCUGGCAUUUAAAUAAUGCCAAAAAUUACAUUUUGGCCACAGAAGUUUUAAAAAAAUGCCAGACAAAUAGAAAAAAAAACAAUGAAGUACAUACAAAAAAAUUUAAGGUUAUUUUGGGGAAGAGUAGGGUGGGUAAAGCAAAGUGGAUAAAUAAAACUCUGGCAUAAUAUUUGAAAUAUAUUCUAUAUUUUACUGUCUAGACCAAAUUUUUCAGUGCCUAGUGAAAAAAAUUAAUAAUAUUAAUUUGGAAAUUUUGCUUUUACAGUAUAUCUUGUUUAACUAAAAAUAAAUUAGAAAUCUCAUGAGCUGUCCUGCUUACAGAUAAAGAAGAGAACCUCUGUGCUGGGACAAGGAACAGUUAUAAUCCUAGAUUUAAGGGAGAAAGUGACAAGAAAAUAAAAAUCUAGGAGGAAAGGAGCAAUAUGGAGCUACCCAGGACUAAUUUUAUGUCAAGCAGAGGCUGAACUUUAAGCAAUAUCUGUAAAGACUCUUACCAACUAACAGACUUGUGAACUCACAUGCAAGCGUCUAAGUGGCAUGACAUUGAAACCUGUCAAGCACCAUUAGAUUACUGCUGCUAAAAUCAGGCCUGCUGAUUAGAAAACCAUUUGGGUAACGGCAUCACAGCAUCGCCUCAAAAGAAGAAGCUUUAAGCAAUCUGAUUUCAGCGGACAGUAAAAAACCCCGAACAACCACAACAAACCAAAAACCAGAAAAACUUGGCUUGGAUAUACUGUAAAGCUGGAGCACGAACCCUUAUACUUCUGGUUGUUAAAGGUGAAUUUGAUUUAGAUGGUGAAAAGUUAGGUAUCACUUUCAUUAGGUUUGGCUUCAGAUAAACAAGUGGAACAGCAGAAGCCUGUGUGGGCAAAAAGGGCAAAGCCAUAAAACUGUGUCAGAAGCCCUGCUUUACUCUUCCGGUGUUCCUCCCUCAGCUGACUUGCUAGCUCUUUGUACAUGAUAAGAAGGUAACAACAAGGUUAAAGUCUGGGUAUAAGCUUGAGAAGCUCAACAUUCAUGACAGGAUAAUUCAGUUUUUUAGAUAAAUAUUUACAUGGAUUUUUAAUGUAUGAUCCCAAAUUCAUGUUUAGGUCCCAAAUGAGCUAAGAAUGUGUGACUAAACUAACACAAGCAAAUUCACCAUCUGUAAGUAUAUAAUAUUAAAACAUUAAUGGAUUUGAAACCCUGAACAAUAUUUUUACUCAGUCUUAAUGUUUUCUUUGCUCAAAAGCAAAUAAACUCCUGCAGCAUGGUGCUCCCAUCCUACUUUUGCUUUCAACUUUUUUCCAUUCUUGUCAAGAGACGUCACAUUCCCAUUUUGGUUCAAAGUCCUUUUUAAAGGACAACUGUUUUAUCUCUGACACUCUGAUAUGUUUUCUUCCUUCUGAAAACUGCUAAGUAGGAUGGGCAGAUGAGAGACAGACAGACAGGCCUGCUCAGUCCGUCUGUCACUGCAGUGGAGCUAGAGGAGGGGUAGCGACAUUGCUGGAUGAAUGCUCCUUGCAAUGCCCUCAAACAUGGUGUAAGGAGAGUUAAUCCCUCAACCUCCCCUUCUUCCUGGGAAGAAAGGAAGGAGAGAUGAAAGAAAGGAAAGCUGUGCCUUUCCUUCUAGCCCUUAGAGCCUGUAAUCUUAUUAAUGUGUAUGCCUGACAAGGAUUGGAGAAGUCCCAGUGCAGCCUUUAUAUGGCAAGGACCAGGUAUUUGUAGAUGCUGCACCAGGACAUGGUCAGCAAUCUCCAUCUGCUGCCUUUGCUGUGGUUCAGGGAGCAUUUGCACUUCCACAGCACUAACAAAGCAGCUCUCAGGUCACUACUGGGAGUGUGAUCACUUCUUUUCAACUGACUUUAUAGUGCAGGUAUGUGAGCUACAAGCAAAGCAUGCAGUUUCUUGUCUAAUCUGACUGCUCAGGCAGUGAUUGCUUUGUGAAUUGCAUGACUAAUAGCCAAAGAUAUUCUGAAUCCAGCCUUAUUCAAGUAUGAACUAAGUCCCUGAAGAGGUAGCCAUUUGCUUGGUUGUUUUUCACUAUCAGUCUUGACAUUGAUAGUGACUUCAAGUGCUGCCCUGCCCCUCAAAAUUCUUUUGGUGCAUGGACACCCAUGUCUUUUUUCCAAGGCAUAUUUUUGUGGGAUGGCUUGCAUCUGGGUGUUAGGGAUCAAUGAGAAAGUGGAAAUGGGUUUAGCAAUCAUCAUUACAGUAUCACCAUUGGCAACAGUAACCAGCAAGUUUAAAAUCGCCUCUCUAACACAGUGCUUUAUUAAAUGUUAGUAAUUAAACAUGAAAAUCACUAGGUAAGAUUAAAGUAUUUUAAGAUAUCAGAUUUUAAAUUAAUUUUCUGGAUGAAAAAGCCAAUGGCCAGGCUUAAGACUUGGAAUACAUACUUUAAUAUUUUCCAUAAUGUAAUACUUCUGUUUUACAUUUUAUUUGCAUGACAUAUUACACAUCACCUUCUUUAGUGCGGUGACAUUGUUAUUUUCUGGUUUUAUAUAGGCACUAGUAUCAUUGGCUUCUGAACUCUUUUUAUGUUUCAGACAAAGCCUGUGAAGUAUUAUGUCUGGAUGCAGAUCGUUGUAUAUUCUAUACGUGCAUUCUGAACUUGUGAGAAGAUGUCUUAAUAACAAUAUUUUGUCAUUUUAAUGACAUGAAAAUGUAACCCAUCACUAGGCAUAGAUAUCAGACCAUAGUUCCCUUUAACUUAACAGCUUGAGUCUGAGAGUGGUCAGCAGCAACGGCUUGGUGUAAUAGCCAUGUUCAUAAAGGAACUGAUGGAAGAAGGUCAUUGGUGGUUAGGAACUUCAUGGUCUGGAAAUUGCAUCCAUACUGUUAUACCUACCUAGUAUUUGAUGCACCUUUCUUCAUUAAUUUCACACCACCAAAACACCCUGUGGCAGUGAUUUAUUUAACUCAGAUCUAGUUAGGAGCAAUGUGAAAAAGUUCUUCCUUCUGUUGUUUUAAACAUGAAGACUGAUUAUUUCACUGAAUGAACUCUGUUAUGAGAGCAAUAAGGAGCUGUUCAUUAGUCACCUUGUCCAGGUCAUUUACUGGCAUCCUACUGAAUGAUAGGGCCUUACACAAUAAAAUAAAUAGCCUACCUUCUAAGAAUCGCGACUAAACUGCUCUUUUAAUCAAGAGUAAGCCUUCCCUGUAAAUAACCAUCAUUAUGUACCAUUAAGGAUUAAUGUGGUGCGUUGCUGGAAAUAAAGAUCAACUUGUUUA